Molecule: ribosomal RNA, 842 nt
Filed under: Aphelenchoides sp. N1
Lineage: Eukaryota; Metazoa; Nematoda; Chromadorea; Rhabditida; Aphelenchoididae
Description: SSU rRNA
Rfam family: Eukaryotic small subunit ribosomal RNA
Source: RNAcentral
UGUAAGUAGAGCGUACAUAAAGCGAAACUGCGAACGGCUCAUUACAACAGAUAUAAUCUACUUGUUCUUUUCAAUCUAAACGGAUAACUGCGGUAAUUCUGGAGCCAAUACGUGACUAAAAGCAGUGGCCUUCGGGUCGCUGUGCUAUUAUUGGAGCAAAACUAUUCGUUAGUCCUUUUGCUAACUCUGGAUAAUACUGCGUAUCGCAUGACCUCGUGUCGGCGAAGUUUCAUUCGAGUAUCUGCCCUAUCAACUUGCUGGCAGUGUAUUGGACUGCCAUGGUUCUAACGGGUAACGGAGGAUCAGGGUCUGACUCCGGAGAGGGAGCCUUAGAAACGGCUACCAUGUCUAAGGAUAGCAGCAGGCGCGAAAAUUACCCAAUAUCAAUACGAUGAGGUAGUGACGAGAAAUAACGAGUCCGUUCUCUCUGAGGUCGGACAUUGGAAUGGGUACAAUCUAGACAAUUUAACGAGUAUCUACGAGAGGGCAAGUCUGGUGCCAGCAGCCGCGGUAAUUCCAGCUCUCGUAAUACAUAGAAUUAUUGUUGCGGUUAAAAAGUUCGUAGUUGAUCAGCGAACCGUUCGGGGUGCAUCCUAACGGGUGUCACUCGUCGGACGGUAUUUUGCGCGUUUGUGUGCGGUCGCCCUCGCGGUGGCUCGUAUGCUGCGUGCAGGAUUACUUUGAACGGCUUAAGUGCUCAAGGCGGGUCUUAGGACCGAAUACCGGUGCAUGGAAUAAUGGAACAAGGUUGCGGCCGAGUUUUAUUGGUUUUGUCGGCUGAAACAAUGGUUAACAGGAACAGCCGGGGGCAUUCGUAUCGCUGCGCGAGAGGUGAAAUUCGG